Molecule: long non-coding RNA, 673 nt
Organism: Patella vulgata (common limpet)
Lineage: Eukaryota; Metazoa; Mollusca; Gastropoda; Patellidae
Exons: 3
Source: RefSeq, a predicted model, not a curated record
GGGGUCUCAUGAAUAUUCAGGAAGUCAAAACGUGGUCACAUGGCACUUUUCCGGAACCUGGUGAGCUGAAGUUAGCGGACUGCCAUAGCAGCUUAUAUUUACUAUGGAAGAAGAGUAUUCACAACCAUUAUUCAUAACAGAUUCUGAGGAGAGUGAAAAAGAAAUUGGAGAAAGUGAAUCUCAAGCACAGACGCAAGCUCCAAGAUUCAUGCCACUUUUCACUCCACGCUUUAGUUCUGAGAAUACAGCAUUGAUAUUUUUUAUCACUGUAUGCAAUUUUUUACUCAUUGUUGUACAUCUUUUUUUUUAAAAUUUUAUAACCAGAGAUAUUUGUUAUUUAUAGAGAAGGGGUGAUUCUUUCUUUAAUAAUGUCAUAACAUUCGAUUACUUAUACAUGUAACUUUUUGUAUUUGCAUAUGACUUUGAUGACGUCCAGUCAUGCCAAAAAAGAAAUUAUUUUGUCAUGUGUAAUCCCUGUGAUUAUAUCAUAUAUUGUUAAUUUUUUUAAGUUUUAUAUUUUUGGUUUUGUAGUUGGUAGUUUUCAUAUGAUUGAUGUUGAUCAUGAUACACAGUUUUGUUUUCUGUUAUUUUUAGAUUUAGGUCAUAAGUUUUCACCCAGAAAAAUUCUGUUAUUUAUUUAUUUUUGUUGAUUUUAAGUUUUAUUGAUUUUGUU